This is a non-coding RNA of Ciona savignyi (Pacific transparent sea squirt), 168 nucleotides long. The record is from Rfam. Lineage: Eukaryota; Metazoa; Chordata; Ascidiacea; Phlebobranchia; Cionidae.
CACAGAAUAAUGGAAAAGGGCCUCGGUUCUAUUUUGUUGUUUUUCGGAGCGCAAGGUAAUGAUUAAGAGAGACAGGCAAAGGCAUUGUCAUUGUGCCGUAAGAGGUCAAAUUCUUGGAUCGGCGCAAGACGAAUGACUGCGAAAGCAUUUGCAAAGAAUGUUUUCUUU